Molecule: ribosomal RNA, 1506 nt
Filed under: metagenome
Description: bacterial SSU rRNA
Rfam family: Bacterial small subunit ribosomal RNA
Source: RNAcentral
AGAGUUUGAUCAUGGCUCAGGACGAACGCUGGCGGCGUGCCUAAUACAUGCAAGUAGAACGCUGAAGAGAGGAGCUUGCUCUUCUUGGAUGAGUUGCGAACGGGUGAGUAACGCGUAGGUAACCUGCCUUGUAGCGGGGGAUAACUAUUGGAAACGAUAGCUAAUACCGCAUAACAAUGGAUGACCCAUGUCAUUUAUUUGAAAGGGGCAAAUGCUCCACUACAAGAUGGACCUGCGUUGUAUUAGCUAGUAGGUGAGGUAACGGCUCACCUAGGCGACGAUACAUAGCCGACCUGAGAGGGUGAUCGGCCACACUGGGACUGAGACACGGCCCAGACUCCUACGGGAGGCAGCAGUAGGGAAUCUUCGGCAAUGGGGGCAACCCUGACCGAGCAACGCCGCGUGAGUGAAGAAGGUUUUCGGAUCGUAAAGCUCUGUUGUAAGUCAAGAACGAGUGUGAGAGUGGAAAGUUCACACUGUGACGGUAGCUUACCAGAAAGGGACGGCUAACUACGUGCCAGCAGCCGCGGUAAUACGUAGGUCCCGAGCGUUGUCCGGAUUUAUUGGGCGUAAAGCGAGCGCAGGCGGUUUGAUAAGUCUGAAGUUAAAGGCUGUGGCUCAACCAUAGUUCGCUUUGGAAACUGUCAAACUUGAGUGCAGAAGGGGAGAGUGGAAUUCCAUGUGUAGCGGUGAAAUGCGUAGAUAUAUGGAGGAACACCGGUGGCGAAAGCGGCUCUCUGGUCUGUAACUGACGCUGAGGCUCGAAAGCGUGGGGAGCGAACAGGAUUAGAUACCCUGGUAAUCCACGCCGUAAACGAUGAGUGCUAGGUGUUGGAUCCUUUCCGGGAUUCAGUGCCGCAGCUAACGCAUUAAGCACUCCGCCUGGGGAGUACGACCGCAAGGUUGAAACUCAAAGGAAUUGACGGGGGCCCGCACAAGCGGUGGAGCAUGUGGUUUAAUUCGAAGCAACGCGAAGAACCUUACCAGGUCUUGACAUCCCGAUGCUAUUUCUAGAGAUAGAAAGUUACUUCGGUACAUCGGUGACAGGUGGUGCAUGGUUGUCGUCAGCUCGUGUCGUGAGAUGUUGGGUUAAGUCCCGCAACGAGCGCAACCCCUAUUGUUAGUUGCCAUCAUUCAGUUGGGCACUCUAGCGAGACUGCCGGUAAUAAACCGGAGGAAGGUGGGGAUGACGUCAAAUCAUCAUGCCCCUUAUGACCUGGGCUACACACGUGCUACAAUGGUUGGUACAACGAGUUGCGAGUCGGUGACGGCAAGCUAAUCUCUUAAAGCCAAUCUCAGUUCGGAUUGUAGGCUGCAACUCACCUACAUGAAGUCGGAAUCGCUAGUAAUCGCGGAUCAGCACGCCGCGGUGAAUACGUUCCCGGGCCUUGUACACACCGCCCGUCACACCACGAGAGUUUGUAACACCCGAAGUCGGUGAGGUAACCUUUUGGAGCCAGCCGCCUAAGGUGGGAUAGAUGAUUGGGGUGAAGUCGUAACAAGGUA